AUUGAACGCUGGCGGCAGGCCUAACACAUGCAAGUCGAACGGUAACAGGAAGCAGCUUGCUGCUUCGCUGACGAGUGGCGGACGGGUGAGUAAUGUCUGGGAAGCUGCCUGAUGGAGGGGGAUAACUACUGGAAACGGUAGCUAAUACCGCAUAAUGUCGCAAGACCAAAGAGGGGGACCUUCGGGCCUCUUGCCAUCGGAUGUGCCCAGAUGGGAUUAGCUUGUUGGUGGGGUAACGGCUCACCAAGGCGACGAUCCCUAGCUGGUCUGAGAGGAUGACCAGCCAAACUGGAACUGGGAAACGGUCCAGAACCCUACGGGAGGCAGCAGGGGGGAAUAUUGCACAAUGGGCGCAAGCCUGAUGCAGCCAUGCCGCGGGUAUGAAGAAGGCCUUCGGGUUGUAAAGUACUUUCAGCGGGGAGGAAGGGAGUAAAGUUAAUACCUUUGCUCAUUGACGUUACCCGCAGAAGAAGCACCGGCUAACUCCGU
This 489-nucleotide ribosomal RNA is filed under the name uncultured bacterium. RNAcentral's name for it is "partial 16S ribosomal RNA". It matches the Rfam family "Bacterial small subunit ribosomal RNA", at positions 30 to 506 of the family's 1533-position model. The record is from RNAcentral.